UACAGAGGGUGCGAGCGUUAAUCGGAAUUACUGGGCGUAAAGCGUGCGUAGACGGUUAUUUAAGUCGGAUGUGAAAGCCCCGGGCUCAACCUGGGAAUUGCAUUCGAGACUGAAUAGCUAGGGUGCGGUAGAGGGAAGCGGAAUUUCCGGUGUAGCGGUGAAAUGCGUAGAUAUCGGAAGGAACAUCAGUGGCGAAGGCGACUUCCUGGACCAAUACUGACGCUCAGGUGCGAAAGCGUGGGGAGCAAACAGG
This 253-nucleotide ribosomal RNA is filed under the name uncultured bacterium. RNAcentral's name for it is "partial 16S ribosomal RNA". It matches the Rfam family "Bacterial small subunit ribosomal RNA", at positions 524 to 776 of the family's 1533-position model. The record is from RNAcentral.